GAUUGCAGCCUGCAACUCGGCUGCAUGAAGCUGGAAUCGCUAGUAAUCGCGGAUCAGAAACGCCGCGGUGAAUGCGUUCCCGGGUCUUGUACACACCGCCCGUCACACCAUGGGAGCCGGAAACGCCCGAAGCCAGCGGCCUAACCGCAAGGAGGGAGCUGUCGAAGGCGGGGCCGGUGACCGGGGUGAAGUCGUAACAAGGUACC
Molecule: ribosomal RNA, 206 nt
Filed under: uncultured bacterium
Lineage: Bacteria
Description: partial 16S ribosomal RNA
Rfam family: Bacterial small subunit ribosomal RNA
Source: RNAcentral